GUAUCUUUCGGCAGCACAUAUACUAAAAUUGGAAUGAUACAGAGAAGAUUAGCAUGGCCCCUGCGCAUGAACAGUUUUAUAAUCACAUCCAUUUCCUUAACUUU
Molecule: small nuclear RNA, 104 nt
Organism: Peromyscus maniculatus bairdii (prairie deer mouse)
Lineage: Eukaryota; Metazoa; Chordata; Mammalia; Rodentia; Cricetidae
Source: Ensembl